AGAGAAAUUCCUCUCUCUCUCUCUCGCUCCCGCGCGCGCGCCCCGCGCCGCCCGCGCCACGAACACCCAAGAAAAGAAACGCCACGCCACGCCAUCUCUGCUUCGCCAUUGGUGUGGAUUGGAGCUUGCUGCGAUAUCGAGGAGAGUCGCGUGCAGUAAUACUACUGAUAAAUUUGGUUGACGGGGUUAAAGAUAGGAGUAGCAAAGAACGUGGAACGAUUUCUUGGGCCGCGGGAGGGAGCGAUCUUGGGGAUGGCGGCGCCGCCGACGCCGUCGCCGUCGCUGGACUACUGGCGCGGGUUCUUCAGCGGGGCGCGCGCCAGCAUCUUCGACGCCAUCGACGCCGCCAUCCGCGUCGCCGCCGCCGACCACCCGGACGCCCUCCGCGCGCGCCGCGACGGCAUCGCCGAGCGCCUCUACACCGCGCUCGUCGUCCUCCCGCCGUCGCCGCCGCGGAGGCGGCGACGCGGGCGGACCGGCGGUUGCUCCUCCCCGACGCCGCGCGCGGCGUCCCUAGCCUGUGCAGCUCCGACCGCGCCGAGGCCGUCGUCACGGACGACGACGACGGCGCCGCCGCCGCCGUCGCUCCCCGCGGUGACUGCCACGACCGCGUCGCCGCCGAGGCGUUCCGCGUCAAGGCCGCCCUCUCCAACGCCCAAGAGAAGACGGAGGCCGAGCUGCUCGAGUUGCUCCGUGCUCUGCAGCAGCUGGAAUUCACGGUGGACGCCAUCAGGGUCACUGAGAUUGGAACAGCCGUGAAGCCUCUGCGGAAGCAUGGUUCAAAGCAGAUUCGGCAACUCGUCCGAUCGCUCAUUGAUGGUUGGAAGGCUGUAGUUAAUGAUUGGGUGAACAAUGGAGGUGCUAUUGUAGAUCAUACUCCACAGUCGAUGGACGGUUCUUGCUUGGAGCAGGAAGAAGGAGGGUUGCCUUCCCCUCCCAUGGAUGAGGCUGCUUUCUUCGCCACACCGUGUACUUCCAUCCAGUUAUCUGAGUUCUUCGAUGAAAUGGAUGAUGAUGGAAACAUUAGAACCAACGGCGAAGAGAGCGCGCAACAACAUUAUCCUGCAAACCAAGAGCCUGCCAAGAAGCAGCUUCCCAUGGGCCAAAGGUAUGAUCCAGAACAAAACUGGAAGCUUGACCAGUCUGCGAUGAGGCAGUCGCAGCCAUAUGAGCCUUCCAAUUGGCAAAAGAAGCAGCAAUCCGUCACCGGGGCACGACAGAGGCCGUCAGCUGCAGCACAUGGUCCCUGGACGCCUCAGAAGAUGCAUCUUGAACCGAAAUUUUCAGAAAUGCGACCUAAGCAGCAACCAGAUACCUCUGUGGCUCAAAGAAGACCGAAACCAACUAUGGCUGAUCAACUGUCAAGUCAGGUCGAUCAAAAUUCAGUUCAGGUGAAUGCCAAGCUUGAGGCUACAAAACGGAUGCUUCAAGAAGGUUACCAAGAAUUCAAUAAUGCAAAGAAACAGCGAACAAUUCAAGUGGUAGAUCCGCAAGACCUGCCGAAGCAAAGGAACCGAAACCUACAACCUAGUUGCAAGCCAAGGAACAGCUCCAGCAACAGCUUGCGGAAUCGGCUAGGCAUCCGUCGCUGAUUCCCAUCAAGUUACCACCAAUGCUGGAAAUUUCUCACCUUCAGUUUCAUGCCAAAAGAACCUUACUCCCUCUCACCGACUGGCUGCUGCUUAUAUACCCUGGAUAUUUAUCGGUCAUAUUUUUAGCCCAGCACCGUACAUUGUCAACAACAAGGCUUCUCUCAAACAAAAAUGUGUUGAGAUGCAUCGUUGUUGCACUCUAACAAACCUUGGGUCAUAAGUGGCUUGUUCCAAUGCUUGUCAAACUUGUAGAGAUCAUAGUAGUUCUAGUAUAUAUAUAAUACACCCAUGAUAUUGCUGAAAA
Molecule: non-coding RNA, 1896 nt
Organism: Oryza sativa Japonica Group (Japanese rice)
Lineage: Eukaryota; Viridiplantae; Streptophyta; Magnoliopsida; Poales; Poaceae
Source: RefSeq, a predicted model, not a curated record